UGGGGAAUUUUGGACAAUGGGCGCAAGCCUGAUCCAGCAAUGCCGCGUGCAGGAUGAAGGCCUUCGGGUUGUAAACUGCUUUUGUACGGAACGAAAAGCCUCUCUCUAAUACAGGGGGGUGAUGACGGUACCGUAAGAAUAAGCACCGGCUAACUACGUGCCAGCAGCCGCGGUAAUACGUAGGGUGCAAGCGUUAAUCGGAAUUACUGGGCGUAAAGCGUGCGCAGGCGGUUUUGUAAGACAGUGGUGAAAUCCCCGGGCUCAACCUGGGAACUGCCAUUGUGACUGCAAGGCUGGAGUGCGGCAGAGGGGGGAUGGAAUUCCGCGUGUAGCAGUGAAAUGCGUAGAUAUGCGGAGGAACACCGAUGGCGAAGGCAAUCCCCUGGGCCUGCACUGACGCUCAUGCACGAAAGCGUGGGGAGCAAACAGGAUUAGAUACCCUGGUAGUCCACGCCCUAAACGAUGUCAACUGGUUGUUGGGGAUUUAUUUCUUCAGUAACGAAGCUAACGCGUGAAGUUGA
This 521-nucleotide ribosomal RNA is filed under the name uncultured bacterium. RNAcentral describes it as "partial 16S ribosomal RNA". It matches the Rfam family "Bacterial small subunit ribosomal RNA", at positions 355 to 868 of the family's 1533-position model. The record is from RNAcentral.